UGGGAAGCUUCGUCCUCAACUCUUUUAACAUAACAAAUUACUUCGUUGCUGCAAAUUUUGUCUAAAGUUGAAUAUGGAUCAACCCUUUCGGAUGCAACUAGUCAUUUUCCGAAUGCCUCCUAAAAUAACACAAUAGGGAUAAGUGACUGCCUUGGGAUUUUGCAAAAAGUUACUACUGGGCAUUAAUCAAUGGCUAAAAUGGCCAGAAAGUAAUAUGGUAAAAAGACACAGUAUAAUGAAAACAACAGGAGGAUAAUUGAAUUCUUAAAAUCUAAAGGAGAAGAGGCAAAGCAUGUGUUUAUUGAACUAGGUAAGUGACUUCAAAUGAUAAAUGGAUAAUGUUUAGACUUCGAAUCGAUGGAGAAUUAGAAUAUGUGAAGCUAACACUUUAAUGGCCAAGAACUCCUAAGCUGUUGUUGGUUUUCCCUUUUGUGUUUACUCCUUUUUCAAACAAAAUAUACAGUACACAGUACUUACAUGAAUGAAGUGAAUGAUAAAUUUUCUUUGUUAAGUAGCAAUUAAGUCUCUUUGAUUAAGUUCUUUUCUCACUGUUGCUGUAAUAGUUACUUCAUCCAAAUAAGGUCAAAGUUGGGUUGUGUUUCUUAUAUCCAAACUAAUGUUUUCAUUGAUUUCUGAUCUAGGGUGUAAAUGUAGGGUCACAUAUCUCAACCUCCAUACUUGUAGGCAGUUUUAUAGAAGAAAUACUCUUUCUAUCUUACCCCCGUUCUGAUAAGUGUUUCUGCUCUAUCUUUCAGACAGGAAGUCCUCGAUAUCUUGAAAUUCCACUCACAUCUUCUUAUCUCCGUCCCCUCAGUUUUGGGUGUUGGUGAUCCGGUAAAUUUACUCAGUAUUAAGCUGCUGUUAUAGUAAGCAAUAUGACAAACAUAGGUCGUGCUAAUUGUAGAGACCUUCCAUGUGAACAUGUUUAUUGAUGAUGUUAAUUGUAGACGUUCCUAACGACUUUUCUUUGUCACGAUAUGGAAAUGAACUAUGAUAAAAAAGAAUAGAAGAUAAUUUUGUUUCUUCUUAUUGUUAAUCUUAAAAUUCUUUUGUGUUUCUUUAGGUGUUAGAAUUCUUCUUCUUAGCUACGUUUUGCUAUAAUGCUCAAUAGUUAGCAAUAUCAUUUAUUUGAAGAUUGUUUACUUUUGAAUCUAAAAAAUAAGGUAAAGUCAUGCACCGAAGCCAUAAAACUUACUUUCUCUGUAACUGUAGAAUCUGGAAUGGAGCUGUAUGAUAUCAUGAAAAACUGUAGGAGAAGUUUUUUAACUUACCUUUCC
Molecule: long non-coding RNA, 1277 nt
Filed under: Solanum tuberosum (potato)
Lineage: Eukaryota; Viridiplantae; Streptophyta; Magnoliopsida; Solanales; Solanaceae
Description: long non-coding RNA (STUB_LNC003240)
Source: RNAcentral